GGGGUUGUGGCUCAGUGGUAGAGUGCUCACCUACAUAGCAUGUGAGGGACCCUGGGUUCAAUCCUCAGCACCA
This 73-nucleotide transfer RNA is filed under the name Ictidomys tridecemlineatus (thirteen-lined ground squirrel). Its description in RNAcentral is "Spermophilus tridecemlineatus (thirteen-lined ground squirrel) tRNA". It matches the Rfam family "tRNA". From Rfam's summary of the family: Transfer RNA (tRNA) molecules are approximately 80 nucleotides in length. Their secondary structure includes four short double-helical elements and three loops (D, anti-codon, and T loops). Further hydrogen bonds mediate the characteristic L-shaped molecular structure. tRNAs have two regions of fundamental functional importance: the anti-codon, which is responsible for specific mRNA codon recognition, and the 3' end, to which the tRNAs corresponding amino acid is attached (by aminoacyl-tRNA synthetases). tRNAs cope with the degeneracy of the genetic code in two manners: having more than one tRNA (with a specific anti-codon) for a particular amino acid; and 'wobble' base-pairing, i.e. permitting non-standard base-pairing at the 3rd anti-codon position. The record is from Rfam by way of RNAcentral. Lineage: Eukaryota; Metazoa; Chordata; Mammalia; Rodentia; Sciuridae.